This 1528-nucleotide long non-coding RNA is filed under the name Capsicum annuum. RNAcentral describes it as "long non-coding RNA (CANN_LNC001441)". Lineage: Eukaryota; Viridiplantae; Streptophyta; Magnoliopsida; Solanales; Solanaceae. The record is from RNAcentral.
UCGAUUUCAAAAAUGUCCUAGAACAAGUUACAAAAACCAUCUAAAAUCUUCUUAACGUUCUUCAAUGUUCUCCUCAUUUGCUUCUUUAUUUUCUCCACCUACAAAAAAAUAAAAUCGUGUCAUUAAUCUUUGUCAAUGUCCUCCUCAAUGUAAAAUUGUUUCACAUUGUUGUCACAGGGAAUAUGAACUUUUUCAAAUGCAACUGCCUCAAAAAUACAAACAAUAAGCAAUAAAGCCACUUCAGAAAACUUUAUCAAAAUAAAAUUGCAAGUAGUUACACCAAAUCUACCAUAUUGUUAGACUAAGUUGCCUAAAACUUUCCUACAAAUUCAUGCAUUUCACUACUGUCUACUUUUGCUAAUGCAAAAUUUCACAACUAUGAAUUUAUUGUAAGUAUCCAUUCACAAUUUUAUCUUGUAAUUUAGAAAAAAAUUUCAAAAUUAUCAUGGAAUAGUUUUUCUUAAAAAAAACAGGUUCAAGAAAAAAGUGUAACAAGGCUUUGCAGAACCAAGAAUGUAAUCACAAUCAAUGGGCAAUUUCCAGGACCAACCUUGACAGUUCGAAACGGAGAUACACUGGCUAUUACUGUCGUUAAUCGAACUCGUUACAACGUUACCAUCCACUGGUAACUACCUUUUAAAUGACCUUUUAUGUGUACAUAUGUAUAUAUUUUGACAUUGUCCAUGUAAAAAUUUGAGAAGUCUUUAGUAGCUCUACAUAUCCCUUCACUUCACAUAAAAUCAAUUGUAUGUAACUAUAUAACAAGGACUAUAUGUCCCCUCUACUCUUUUUUUCCCAAUUGCCUUUUAUACUUAAAAACUUCUUUAGCUUUAGCUAGCUAUAAUACGGGGCAUUUUUGAAAAGAUGGAGGUACAAUUACACCUCUCUCUUUGUCUCUCUGCAGGUACAAUAACAUGACUUCUUUAUCUCCUUCUCUCUUUUUCUUUGUCAACAACAACAUAUAUACACCACCAUGGUUGUCUUAAUUACAUAUUCCACCUUGCUAACUUACAUACAUUAAUAAUGCUUACACUCGCACAAACACAAAAAGUUAGCCACUACCUAUCGCAUAGUUAUUAUUACUAUCAUGUAUAAUUAAGAAUAUAACAAGCAAUAUACAUGUAAAACCACAUAUUCACCUGUCUUUUUCAACCAUAAAGCUAUGCUAUCAUCAACAUAUUUUAAAGAAAACAUUACAUUUCUUUUCCCACUUUUUCUCUGUCUCUCUUAUAAUUAAAAAUUAAUAUAUAUACAAGAGAAUUAUACAGGACAAGUCUCACUUAAAUAAAAGAGUCUCAAUUAAUUCAACUUUGUUUUCCUUUUGUUGAUGCAGCUAGCUAGCUUAUUAAAAUUGAUAUACACAAGAAAGAAGAAGAGCUUACUUGUCCUUCUCAAACUCCAGUCCCACCAUAUAGCCACCUUAUCAAGAUUUUUUAAGAUGCAACCUUCUGGCAAUUAUAGCCCCAAUAUUAUCAAUUCCUCUUCUUACUUCAACAUAGAUAUUCCAUCUCCUUAAAUGCAAUACGAA